CUCAAAUUGCAAAGGAAGAAAAGAAAGAUGCCAAGAAGUAAAUCUACAAGCUGCGGACUGAGAGGAUCGAUUCCUCUCCUACAUGUUUGUGUCGUGGGAAACUCUUCAGCUGCAUCACAAACUGUGUUUAGCUCAGCACCUUAUUUCUCCUCUGCAGGCAUCUUGCAUCAAAUCCUCCUCAGAGUUUAGAUUACUGACCUGACUGCGUGAUUAGUAGGGAACUGUCAUGCCUGUGAUUGAUUUUAUCACUGUGGAUUUCAUUCAUUUCAAAGAUCACAUAUAACGGUCAUGUUGUUUGGUAAAUAUGGACAACGAAAGCAACAAUAUGUACGGAACUAAAUGGUGACUUGCUGUCCUGUUUCUCACUUGUUUCAGCAAAUAGAGAGUAAAAAUGAAUCACUGUGUUUGAUUUGCGUGCAUAAAAACUGCUUAAAACCACAAGCACGGAGUGAUUUCAUUCAGUCGUGUAAAUGCUAGCGGCAUCAUGUUACGGGGGGGACGCUGCAAAGCUGGAGCUCAUCAUGAGAGCUGCACAUAGAAAAUCCAGAAAGCAUGCCGCUGAUACCCAGAAGUACAGUGGAAUGGACAAGACUUGUUGAGAGCUCAGCUUUGUUGUAACAAAGCCUCGCUAAAGCCCGAGGUGCGAGGCAUGUGGCUAAUGAGUGCAGCACAGAGGGCUGGAAUGGCUGAGAUGUCCUUUUACCACCGAGGACGAGCGUCAGUGAAGUGGAACACAUGGUGGCUUUCGUCUAGCGAAGGCCGCCGCAGCAUCACUCGACAGUUAUUCCUUUGAUGCCCUGAAUGUACAUGUUUCCUCUCAACACGCAGCUGCACAACAUCCAGAGAGCCUCGUUCGUGUCUCAGGGUCACCGGCUGCACACGUGACCAAUGUCUCACUGCUGUUUCCAGGUGUUUUGACAUGGGGCUUCAACAAAGGCCACAAAUUACAAGCGCAAAGGCAACACGGUUCAAAGCUAAACAUGGCUGAUCAAAUAUCACGUCUGCUUUCUUUAUGCAAUCCCAGAUGUUAUUUUUCACUCGUCACCAAAGUUACAGCUCGCUACGCAAGAGGAGGGAGGCAGCAGCGGUGGAGAACAUGAGUGGGCUGGAGGUGGAAGCGGAAUAACGCCGCUGAAUGGCACAAAUGGC
Molecule: long non-coding RNA, 1149 nt
Organism: Amphiprion ocellaris (clown anemonefish)
Lineage: Eukaryota; Metazoa; Chordata; Actinopteri; Pomacentridae
Source: Ensembl